GACGAACCGUCCUAACGUUGUUCGGAAUCACUGGGCUUAAAGGGCGCGUAGGCGGCCCUGCAAGUCGGGGGUGAAAUCCCACGGCCCAACCGUGGAAGUGCCUCCGAUACUGCGGGGCUCGAGGGAGGCAGGGGCAGCGGGAACUUCCGGUGGAGCGGUGAAAUGCGUUGAUAUCGGAAGGAACGCCGGCGGCGAAAGCGGCUUACUGGGUCUUUUCUGACGCUGAGGCACGAAAGCCAGGGGAGCGAACGGG
This 253-nucleotide ribosomal RNA is filed under the name uncultured bacterium. RNAcentral's name for it is "partial 16S ribosomal RNA". It matches the Rfam family "Bacterial small subunit ribosomal RNA", at positions 524 to 776 of the family's 1533-position model. The record is from RNAcentral.